UAGGAUAUGGCGUAACUUGGGGCAACGCGUUUGUUUUGGGUACGAAAGAUUACAGGUUCGAAUCCUGUUAUCCUAA
RNAcentral lists this transfer RNA (76 nucleotides) under Sirodotia delicatula. RNAcentral's name for it is "tRNA-Pro". It matches the Rfam family "tRNA". Rfam says of the family: Transfer RNA (tRNA) molecules are approximately 80 nucleotides in length. Their secondary structure includes four short double-helical elements and three loops (D, anti-codon, and T loops). The record is from RNAcentral. Lineage: Eukaryota; Rhodophyta; Florideophyceae; Batrachospermales; Batrachospermaceae.